RNAcentral lists this small RNA (17 nucleotides) under Arabidopsis thaliana (thale cress). RNAcentral's name for it is "ATSL276990". Lineage: Eukaryota; Viridiplantae; Streptophyta; Magnoliopsida; Brassicales; Brassicaceae. The record is from RNAcentral.
AGAAGAAAAACAAAAUU